GCGAUGGUGGUGGAAUUGGUAGACACGCUAGUCUCAGAAGCUAGUGGCCUUACGGCUGUGCGGGUUCAAGUCCCGCCCUUCGCA
Molecule: transfer RNA, 84 nt
Filed under: Oligoflexus sp.
Lineage: Bacteria; Pseudomonadati; Bdellovibrionota; Oligoflexia; Oligoflexales; Oligoflexaceae
Also listed under: 1 other name
Description: tRNA-Leu
Rfam family: tRNA
About the family: Transfer RNA (tRNA) molecules are approximately 80 nucleotides in length. Their secondary structure includes four short double-helical elements and three loops (D, anti-codon, and T loops).
Source: RNAcentral